RNAcentral lists this long non-coding RNA (757 nucleotides) under Toxoplasma gondii VEG. The record is from RNAcentral. Lineage: Eukaryota; Apicomplexa; Conoidasida; Eucoccidiorida; Sarcocystidae.
GACCCCUCACGUGGCUGGCCGUCACUCAUGCGGAAUUACCCAGCACUUGGAACAAAAGAGCGAGGAUAUCGGACGUGUAAGAUCCAUCUGUGUCACACAUUUGAUUGUGCAAGCGGCAUGUGGUGUUCCUCCGUUUCGCUCAAGGCUCUGCCGCCGAACAGCGGCGAGCAAGAACCACGAAAAACUGCCUGGUGCGUGAAUAGUCUUGUCUAAAGUUUAGAGCUCAGUUCGAUACGUUUGGAUCAACACCCCAGAACCUAUGAACUCUCAAUCCAGUGUGUACCUGAGGGCCCCCCAUCGUCAGUUUGACAUCCAGGCUAGUCCUCUGUGGCGGCGAGGCACUGCAGAAACGUGGACUUUCCUGGACUCCCCUCCCUGGAUUUUGAGCAAACUUCAACGGCAUGUCAUUUUGAGUCCACAUGAUUUUUUUACUAAGGCACCUCAGCCCGUUGGUGUCCCCGUUUUCCCUUCCUGAACGCAAAUCAGCCGCUUCGGGAAUCUUCGAUACUCGAUGUGCGCACCAUGGAUUUUGAAAUUGAGAGUGGCAUUCAGCUAGGGACAGGACGACAUGUUCGCACUUUGAGUAGCGACAAAUGCCGUUGGAAACGAAUCACUACGAACCAGUGAACGGUAGCACACCGUAGGUAUGCAGAAAUCUGUGAUCUAGACGGAGACAGCUUGAAGCUGCUUGGUGCAUGCGGGGGACACAAGAUCCUGCGCAGAACAUGGCGUUAACGGCCUGUCUCCCCUGUGUCAG